UACAGAGGUCUCAAGCGUUGUUCGGCUUCAUUGGGCGUAAAGGGUGUGUAGGUGGCGCGCUAAGUCGGGUGUGAAAUUUCGGAGCUUAACUCCGAAACUGCAUUCGAUACUGGCGUGCUUGAGGACUGGAGAGGAGACUGGAAUUCAUGGUGUAGCAGUGAAAUGCGUAGAGAUCAUGAGGAAGACCAGUGGCGAAGGCGGGUCUCUGGACAGUUCCUGACACUGAGACACGAAGGCCAGGGGAGCAAACGGG
Molecule: ribosomal RNA, 253 nt
Filed under: uncultured bacterium
Lineage: Bacteria
Description: partial 16S ribosomal RNA
Rfam family: Bacterial small subunit ribosomal RNA
Source: RNAcentral